CUAAUAUUCUAAAAAAGUUAAUUUAACCAAUAUUUGGUCCUUUCGUACUAAAAUAUUUUAAAUAAAUGAAGAUAGAAUCCAACCUGGCUCAGGCCGGUUGCCUCCCGGAACCAGGAAA
Molecule: ribosomal RNA, 118 nt
Filed under: Agrilus cuprescens
Lineage: Eukaryota; Metazoa; Arthropoda; Insecta; Coleoptera; Buprestidae
Description: partial 16S ribosomal RNA
Source: RNAcentral